This is a non-coding RNA of Electrophorus electricus (electric eel), 101 nucleotides long. The record is from RefSeq and is a predicted model, not a curated record. Lineage: Eukaryota; Metazoa; Chordata; Actinopteri; Gymnotiformes; Gymnotidae.
CCUGAUUCAGUUUGGCAGUGGAUCCAGAGUGCAUCAGUUGAUGUUCGUCUAGAUCCAAGUUCCUGCAACCGCUGGCUAUCUGUGUCAGAAGACAAUCUGGA